UCGGAGGAGGAGAGGGCCGUGAGGGAGCGGGCGGGACGGGGCGGGGCGGCGGAGCGGGCGGGACGGGGCGGGGCGGCGGAGCGGGUGGGGCGGGGCGGCGGGGCGAGCGGCACCGGCACCGGCUACUGGUGCUGGGGCGGCAGGGCGGAGCGGGCAGGGCGAGCGUCACCGGCUACGGGGCGCCGGAGCGGUCGGGGCGGGGCAGGCAGGGCGACGGGCAGAGCGGUCGGGGCGAUGUAAAUGCCAGCCGUAGUGGCGCGCGGCGGGCUGGUUCCAUAAGAGGGCGCACGCGCUGGAGGAGCGGUUCAGGUAGGAGAUGCGCGCCCGGUAGCGGCUGAGCGAGAAGGAGGCAACACUGGAGCAGGUGCUGCGGGCACCGUGGCUACGGCAGGCGCGGCUGCUGCCGGUCCAGGUUGUGGCAGCUGCUCUGGUAGCGGUACCACGAGGUGAUACGGAGCCCCUAGCGGCUACGCGUGCAACCGGAAGGCACGCACUGCGGCAGCAGCGGCACGGCGGGAUAAAGCCGGUCCGGCUCGCGGCCCGGGAGUGCGUCCGCCGGGUCGAGCGGCCCAAGUUGCAGGACCGCGAGCAGUUGCUUGUGCGGCCCCGGCGCGACGUCAAGCAGGAUGUCGCGGUUCCUCAAGCCCUUCUACCACACACAGUUGCUCAAGGUCCUACAGUCUACCUUGAGGUUUGACCCUCCGGAACUUUACCUUUACGCAAACCAUUUGAUAAGGCGUCUAGUUAAAUUAUUCGUAUGUAGACAGUCAGAGGAUUUCGUUACCGAUUCAACUUCUUCGUUCAGUUCGCGUGGUUUCUUUAAGACUCGCGUAUAUGGGGACGAGGUUAGAGUCAACUUAGAGAGAUAUUACUAUGGCUAAAGUCUUCGUCGUAUUGUGCACUUUUUAAACUUCUCGAAACACGUAUAAAUACCCUCGUCCGAGACAGAGGUUAGUUUCUACACGAGUGCGUAAGUCCGUACUUUUAACCACUGCAUAUACGACAUCUCGAUUAAGCUCCUCGAUGGUCCCAUGGCUUUGACGUCCGAUUCGACGUCCUUAAGGACCCUACCUCACUCGAUCUAUUCGUGGAACUACGACUACUUCGUUAACAAGAACCGCGGAGUGCUGUACGACGAUUAGAUUCACUACCCUAAUUCAACUUGGCGUUCAACCCCUACUAACUGUCAAGAUGAAUACCAAAGCACAAACUUUAUCUACCGGGUCUAAAACAGUUUCUACUUUCAUGACUAGUUCAUGACCAAGGUUCCUACUUUUUCUACGGUUAUUUCAACAAGUCCAGGUAGUUUAUAUGAUUCCUGAAACUACACAGAGAGUCGAUACUGUUUCGAAGACUUAACGGGGGUCCACAAAAUAACGUUUACAAACGUCUCAUGCGGUAUAGUCCGGACUGUCUUUGGUCACUUUUCCUACCCAAUCCCAAACGACAACCUAGGUUGUAAAAAGACAACUACCAACAGCAGACGAGUACGAGAACUGACAGCCUGACGACCCUAGACAGCAACAACACCAACAGAGCUAUCAAUACUAAAAACAGUUGCCAGGAUAACGUCUCCGCAGCAAGAACCACCAGCUCGGCGACUACCUCUUCUAAGUAUCUCUCUAAACAACCCACCUGCGACUGUAGGAACGGCGGCAGGCCGUCGUCCUGGUCCCGUCAUGAAUGUUUUUCUCCGUUCGACUUCUCCUUUCAACCUUCUUCCUCUCGUUGACACGCAAAAAGACUGACGGAGAAGGAGUACAGCGAUUCACAGUGUCCGUUCUCCUGGUUCACGUCCGACCACUCGUAGUCCUCAGGUCAGCUAACCGAAGCCGGAAACUCCACGACGACCGAUCGCCACGGUGAAGGCUCGCAGAGGAGUGGGGAGUGAGGACACCGGGGAAGUUGACCACCGUGAAAACGAACAGAGAACAAUAGAAAAACUUUACCACUUCGACUGUCACUAUCGGACAUAGUGACUACCGGAAGGUAACCGCCUCACGAAUCUACCACCAAUACACUUCCUACAACAGAAGAUGUUCGUCGUUCUUUUUAACAACAAGUUUUUGUAUAGAUUUCCGGUUGUACUUAGUAGUUCUGACAGUUGACUCUGACCUGGUAUGGCAAGGUCCAGUUCCAUACAUAAAUGUAAAAAACGAAAGUCGUUCUACUCCUAUUACACUGACAAACACACGCACGCACGAUAUACUACGUAAAAGCGAAAGUAUCUACUCCUAUGACACUGAUAAACACACACACGCACGAUAUACUAUGUAAAAACGAAAGUAGUUCUACUCCUAUGACACUUACAAACACACCCACGAAAUCACCAAGAUCCAAUAACAUCAUCAUAUUGAUCCGAAGCAAAUGUGUCUUAGGUUUAUCUUAAAUCAAACCUCGACCAGUUCUGUACCACAUCAUAAUAUUGGAUAAUUAAACCAACCUGACCAGUUCACAAGAUAAUUAAGAACGACGUCAUAAGUAAGACAUCAUACAUGAUCGAGAAUCUGUUUUAUUAACAAAUCGGGGACUAAAGAAUCGAUGACCAACCAGGACAUUUCGAUGUAGGAACGAAAGGCUAAUCACAAUAAACUUAGAUAUCGUCACCUAUACGCAUCUUCUAGGCGAUUAAACAAAAAAAGAAAUAAAUAGUACACUACCUGUAAACAGCCUCGAAACGGCGGAAGUAGAGCUGAGGCAGCCCCAAGGUCCAAGUGGGGGGCCACCGUGCCACUAAACGCCGCCGACGCCCCAGAAGGGGACGAAACCACCACCGGCCGUCCGCAAACGGGCCGAUCUAGACCGCGCCACGUCCUGGACACCACGUACCGGACCAAAUACCCCCGCCCUCUGUGUACCCAGGAACCAGGCCGUCGCAGCCGUCCUGCGACACCCGGGCAGACGAAAGAACGAUCUAUGCACAAAUCCUUUUUUGAUGUUAUGAGGAAGUUCCAAAUAUGUAGUUAACGUUGCCCAAAAUCCUUACGUAGUGAUAUAACUAAAACCAAAUAUGUACUUGACGUCUCUCAAAAUAUUUACAUAGUAAUAUAACAAAACCCAAAUAUAUACUUAACGUACAAAAUCCGUACACUUUUAGUCUCGAGUCCGCCGUCCACUAAAAAAAAGAACGAAGAUUACGAUCCUACUACAAGACAUAUGAUUUUUCCUGAGCACGUGUGAACGAAACGAGGAAUCACAAAUACUAGUCAAUGGUUUGUAAUAUUAUCCUAUAUGUGUAACGAAGUUUUGACUCAUACAAGGAACCACUACCACAUAAAUAAUACUUUUAUUUAUUUUGACGACUGUGUACCACUACACCAUAAGGAUGAGCUAAUGAAUGGGACAAAGACACUGUUUCCGGGCACUAUCUAUACCAAUCUGUGUAUAACUCGUAGGUUAAAGUAUUUAUAACUCGUAUGUUAAAGUUGAAGUUGAAUUUGUACUCUAACAGAACGACAGUUCAACACAAGUCAAGAAAGGUACAUCUUGAAUGAUCUUUAAGAACGUAUGUAGGAUUUGUUUAUUUCUCGACGUACGUAAAUUUAAUUCGUCAAGGUUUCUUUCUUAAUAAAGUUCAAUAAAACAAACCUCUACUCAACGGAAAAGAUGUGGAAACACAUUUCCUACCUCGGAGGUGUUACGGAUACUCGGUACGAAAAAGGGUGGGUCCUUUUACCAGAUAAAAGUUCACCGUAGUAUGCCACUUCCUCCCCUAGACCUAGUUCUCGGCAUUACCACGAACACUACCGUACAGAUCGUGAACGCGCUGGGACCUCAGACUGAAGAAGAACGUUCAACUGGUAUGAUAACACUCUUAGAGCCGGUCCUAGUAAGAAAUAUAGUACAACCUAGUAGAACCUUAAGCAUCUCGGUAAAUGGCAGCUUCCUACAUGAGUGUCUUGUUUAGUCACACUAAUACGAAAAGAUGUGAAGACAGGUUUCAUUACUCUGUACAUAAGACAUGACAUGUCGAUGGGAGAUUACGUGAUGAGUCGGAAGUCAUAGACAUACAUGUUUACUGGAUUAAUAAUACUUACUGUAUACCUCACACGACG
This 4055-nucleotide ribosomal RNA is filed under the name Triticum aestivum (bread wheat). RNAcentral's name for it is "partial small subunit ribosomal RNA". The record is from RNAcentral. Lineage: Eukaryota; Viridiplantae; Streptophyta; Magnoliopsida; Poales; Poaceae.